AUAACACAGCAACAUCAUCUCCUGCCCAAGGGCAGCGCCUCCCCUCCCUCGGAUGAUAAAGCCCCUUCCACAGCCAUCUCCUCUGAGCCUGGUACCACCUGAUAAGGUGGGCAGGGGUGUCCUUUCCUAGCAUUCUGCCCACGGGGACCCAGAGACCUUGGUUCUCCAAGACUACGCAGCCCGGACGUGGCAGAACAGAAAGGCCUAGGACGCAAGUCCUCCUCCAAUCACACGCACAAAAGCCCACCAGGAGAGAGAGCCCCUGAGAAGGAUGCCUGGUCCUGAGUGGGUUGCACAGGAAUCCUCUCACCUGAGGUCCCCGUGCAACCAGCCAAGCUAGCAGGACAUGGCCCAGCCAUCAGGGGAGCUACCAGGUCAGAGGUCACUGCAGGCUGGAGCUCAGAAGGUGGGAGGCCUGGCUCUGCCCAUGUGGUACAGGAGACAAAGCUUCUACAAGGGUGCUGAGCCAGCAUCCCAAUGGCGGCCUCCUCUGGAAGAUUCUCACACCACAUCCAGUGGGAACCAAGGGCCUAAGUCAAGAGGACAUGGGGCAUGCAGUCUUCCAGAAGGCUGGAGCUGGAGUGGGCAGUGCCUGUGAAAUCCUGCAGCCUAGACUCUUCUUCACAGAUGAGGGAAAUGGAGGCCCGAGGGGGUGAUGGCACAGUUCUUGUAACUCUGAGCUGCAGAAGUCACAGCCAGAUCUCCUCCCUGUGAGGACAGAAGAGGGGACUGUUACCACACGGAAGCCCAGUGUUUCUUCACUAAGGUCACCCGGGUCUGUUAGCGCCCGACAACAAUGAAGGACUUGGGAAAAUUGGAA
Molecule: long non-coding RNA, 820 nt
Organism: Heterocephalus glaber (naked mole-rat)
Lineage: Eukaryota; Metazoa; Chordata; Mammalia; Rodentia; Bathyergidae
Source: RefSeq, a predicted model, not a curated record